RNAcentral lists this long non-coding RNA (471 nucleotides) under Glycine max (soybean). RNAcentral describes it as "long non-coding RNA (GMAX_LNC001075)". The record is from RNAcentral. Lineage: Eukaryota; Viridiplantae; Streptophyta; Magnoliopsida; Fabales; Fabaceae.
UAUACUUUUGUUGUCAUCGGCAACACCAACCCUUUGAUUUCAGCAUUGAAUGCGACCUCGACACUGAUUAUUCAUCUUCCUGUUGCUACUGCCACACCCUCUAAUCCCUUCCAAAUCUUUAAGCGUUGUGAUUCACAGAAACGGUUAGCAUAGGCAUCGUUGUAAUCUCUCUGUUUGAACAAAGCGAAGAAUCAAGACCAAGAAGGAAACCACGAAGAAACUAGUCACCGCCAAGGGUUUCGAAUUUGUCAUCGACAAAGUUUCAAAACAUUGAAGCCACGCGUCUGUGUAUGGCAUUUUGAUUUUGAUUUUACGGUAUUUGCUCUUGAUUAAUGUUUGUUCGCAGUUGCUUUUCAAACACAUAAUGAAAACCUUGUACUGAAAUUUCAGAUGGAUGUCUUAAAAUUUCUGAACUUGUCGUGUAAUGGGUAUCUGUUGGUUCUUCAAAUAAAUUUGGUUUAUUUUACGGUA